GUUUUAGUAGUUUAAAUAAAAACACUGGUCUUGUAAACCAAUAUUAAGCUACCACGCUUUUAAAACU
RNAcentral lists this transfer RNA (67 nucleotides) under Xizicus howardi. RNAcentral's name for it is "tRNA-Thr". It matches the Rfam family "tRNA". From Rfam's summary of the family: Transfer RNA (tRNA) molecules are approximately 80 nucleotides in length. The record is from RNAcentral. Lineage: Eukaryota; Metazoa; Arthropoda; Insecta; Orthoptera; Tettigoniidae.